GUGAAGCUAUGCAGCAUUUUACUGUAGUUAGAUUUUUGUAUAGAAUCAACGUUUGCAGCUAAAAAAAAAAGUAACAAAAAAUACUUACAAAGGGUUAAAACGAUAAUUUUACACGUUUAAGCGGCAAUUGAAUCAAGUUCAUUUUUUAAGGCCAUAAAGAUAUUUGAAGUAAAUAUCAUAAUUAAUUUACAAAUAGAAAUUAAAUACGAAAUGGCAUAACCAAAAAAUAUUUUUAUAAUUUGCGGCACUUUCACAUAAUUCAUAAUGCAUUACAAAAUGUAUAAAUAAAAGAAACCAAAUACCAAUCACAUUAUGUACAACAAUAACGUAGUUAAAUUUUUUUAGUUUUUACUUGCUAUUUAUAUAAAUAUAUUUACACAAGGAAAACCGAUCGGAAGAAUGUAAACUUAAAUGUAGACCUAAAACUAAAACAGAAAACGUGAAAGGCGAUAAAAAAAUUAUUAAUUGAAUAUUAAAAACAAAAUAUAAAUAAAUCGAAAUCAGAGCAGAACGCGCAUAAUGACAAUUAGUUUAGUUGAAGCAGCCACAAAAAAUAUAAAACAUUUUUAAAUAAAAAUUAAAACGCUAAAAAAAGGUAAUUUUAAACAUUUGUCUAAAAUGUGAAGAGAAAAAACAAAAGAAAAAAAAUGAUAAAUGUAUAAAAUAAAAGGUAUAAUAAUAUUAUGUUGUUAAUGUUUAAAAAACCUUGUUAAAAAUAAUAUUUCAAAAUAAAAUAUUAAUACAG
Molecule: long non-coding RNA, 745 nt
Filed under: Drosophila guanche
Lineage: Eukaryota; Metazoa; Arthropoda; Insecta; Diptera; Drosophilidae
Source: RNAcentral